Molecule: small nucleolar RNA, 106 nt
Organism: Arabidopsis thaliana (thale cress)
Lineage: Eukaryota; Viridiplantae; Streptophyta; Magnoliopsida; Brassicales; Brassicaceae
Rfam family: Plant small nucleolar RNA R71
About the family: R71 is a member of the C/D box family of snoRNAs containing the C (UGAUGA) and D (CUGA) box motifs. Multiple nearly identical copies of this snoRNA have been identified in Arabidopsis, and it is thought to function as a 2'-O-ribose methylation guide for 18S ribosomal RNA.
Source: Rfam
AAACUGUGAUGGGGGUACUGAGUGGUGUAUCCUUUAAACCUCUCCCAAGCUUCACAAAAGUUUCAUCGUUUUUCUCGGUGAAGCCUGAGAUCGCGUUCCUCAAUCU